Molecule: transfer RNA, 64 nt
Filed under: Numidum massiliense
Lineage: Bacteria; Bacillati; Bacillota; Bacilli; Caryophanales; Bacillaceae
Rfam family: tRNA
About the family: Transfer RNA (tRNA) molecules are approximately 80 nucleotides in length. Their secondary structure includes four short double-helical elements and three loops (D, anti-codon, and T loops). Further hydrogen bonds mediate the characteristic L-shaped molecular structure. tRNAs have two regions of fundamental functional importance: the anti-codon, which is responsible for specific mRNA codon recognition, and the 3' end, to which the tRNAs corresponding amino acid is attached (by aminoacyl-tRNA synthetases). tRNAs cope with the degeneracy of the genetic code in two manners: having more than one tRNA (with a specific anti-codon) for a particular amino acid; and 'wobble' base-pairing, i.e. permitting non-standard base-pairing at the 3rd anti-codon position.
Source: RNAcentral
AGUAGCUCAGUCGGAUAGAGCAACGGUCUUCUAAACCGUCGGUCGGGAGUUCGAAUCUCUCCUG